GAGCCCCACGUUCCUUGUAACCUCUUGCGGUUACGUGAUUUUAAAAAAAUGGAAAGCAGAGAACUUCGUAGCCUUUCUCUCUCUCUCUCUCUCUCUUGGGGGUGUGUGGCAAGGACGAGAGAAUCAUCUUUGUCGAAGGCUCAUCUUGGAGUAUUUGUGGGUUUUGAAGAGUGAUAAGGAGAGUAUCUAGUUUUAUCCUUGAAAAGUAAAUAGGGAUAAAUUGUGUUCGGGUGCUGGAGUUUGGAAAAUUAGAGAAGAGAAGGAACAAGAAUGACUUGUGUCAUUUAUUUUAUGUAUUUAAUUAGUGAAUAAUUUCAUGAUUUUAACAAUAGAGUAGUCCCUGAUUUUUUGUGCUUGUUUAUUAAGGAAAAGGUUGAAAGUGGGAUUUCAUGGAGAGUUAGGUGGAAUGAAUUUUUGUUGGGGAUUAUGUAUGGGUGUUAACUUGCUGAUUGUUUAUGUUGUGGACUAAUGAUUUGAUGGGAAUUGUAUU
This is a long non-coding RNA of Dioscorea cayenensis subsp. rotundata (Guinea yam), 490 nucleotides long. RefSeq lists it as uncharacterized. The transcript is spliced from 3 exons. Lineage: Eukaryota; Viridiplantae; Streptophyta; Magnoliopsida; Dioscoreales; Dioscoreaceae. The record is from RefSeq and is a predicted model, not a curated record.